Molecule: ribosomal RNA, 209 nt
Filed under: uncultured bacterium
Lineage: Bacteria
Description: partial 16S ribosomal RNA
Rfam family: Bacterial small subunit ribosomal RNA
Source: RNAcentral
AGCGAACGCUGGCGGCAUGCUUAACACAUGCAAGUCGCACGGGCAGGGGCAACUCUGUCAGUGGCGGACGGGUGAGUAACGCGUAGGUAUCUAUCCUUGGGUGGGGGACAACUGUGGGAAACUACAGCUAAUACCGCAUGAUAAACUGAGGUUUAAAGGCGCAAGUCGCCUGAGGAGGAGCCUGCGUACGAUUAGCUAGUUGGUGGGGU